Molecule: ribosomal RNA, 573 nt
Filed under: Thraustochytriidae sp. Sed14
Lineage: Eukaryota; Bigyra; Thraustochytrida; Thraustochytriidae
Description: SSU rRNA
Rfam family: Eukaryotic small subunit ribosomal RNA
Source: RNAcentral
GCAGCAGGCGCGUAAAUACCCAAUGCCUGCCACAGGGAGGUAGUGACAAUAAAUAACAAUGCCGGGCCUUUGUAGGUCUGGCAAUUGGAAUGAGAACAAUUUAAACCUCUUAUCGAGUAUCAAUUGGAGGGCAAGUCUGGUGCCAGCAGCCGCGGUAAUUCCAGCUCCAAUAGCGUAUAUUAAAGUUGUUGCAGUUAAAAAGCUCGUAGUUGGAUUUGUGGCUGUCACGGGCGGCCUAUCACUUAGUGUUAGUGCUUGCCUGUGUCGCCAUCCUUGGGUGGAGCCCGUGUGGCAUUAGGUUGUCGUGCGGGGGAUGCCCAUCGUUUACUGUGAGAAAAUUAGAGUGUUCAAAGCAGGCUUAUGCCGUUGAAUAUGUUAGCAUGGAAUAAUAAGAUAGGACCUCGGUACUAUUUUGUUGGUUUGCGCACCGAGGUAAUGAUUAAUAGGGACAGUUGGGGGUAUUCGUAUUCCAUUGUCAGAGGUGAAAUUCUUGGAUUUCUGGAAGACGAACUACUGCGAAAGCAUUUACCAAGGAUGUUUUCAUUAAUCAAGAACGAAAGUUAGGGGAUCGAA